This 858-nucleotide ribosomal RNA is filed under the name uncultured Gemmatimonadota bacterium. RNAcentral's name for it is "bacterial SSU rRNA". It matches the Rfam family "Bacterial small subunit ribosomal RNA", at positions 28 to 897 of the family's 1533-position model. The record is from RNAcentral. Lineage: Bacteria; Pseudomonadati; Gemmatimonadota.
GACGAACGCUGGCGGCGUGCUUAACACAUGCAAGUCACGGGGGCUCGCAAGAGCAACCGGCGAACGGGUGCGUAACACGUGAGCAAUCUGCCGAUUUGUGGGGGAUAGCCGGCCCAACGGCCGGGUAAUACCGCAUACGUUCUUUGGGGGGAGUCCCCUGAAGAGGAAACCUCCGGGGCAAAUCGAGGAGCUCGCGGCCUAUCAGCUAGUUGGCGGGGUAAUGGCCCACCAAGGCUCUGACGGGUAGCUGGUCUGAGAGGAUGGCCAGCCACAUUGGGACUGAGAGACGGCCCAGACUCCUACGGGAGGCAGCAGUGGGGAAUCUUGCGCAAUGGCCGAAAGGCUGACGCAGCGACGCCGCGUGUGGGAGGACGCCCUUCGGGGUGUAAACCACUGUUGCCCGGGACGAACAAGCUCUUUCGAGAGCUCUGACGGUACCGGGUGAGGAAGCACCGGCUAACUCCGUGCCAGCAGCCGCGGUAAUACGGAGGGUGCGAGCGUUGUCCGGAAUCACUGGGCGUAAAGGGCGCGUAGGCGGCCGGAGCAGUCUGUGGUGAAAGCUCGGGGCUCAACCCUGAGUCGGCCACGGAUACUCUUCGGCUGGAGCACUGUAGAGGCAGAUGGAAUUCCGGGUGUAGCGGUGGAAUGCGUAGAGAUCCGGAAGAACACCGGUGGCGAAGGCGGUCUGCUGGGCAGUUGCUGACGCUGAGGCGCGACAGCGUGGGGAGCAAACAGGAUUAGAUACCCUGGUAGUCCACGCCGUAAACGAUGGGCACUAGGUGCUUGGGGGAGCGACCCUCUGAGUGCCGGCGCUAACGCAUUAAGUGCCCCGCCUGGGGAGUACGGCCGCAAGGCUGA